GGGUUGUGAGGUUAAGCGACUAAGCGUACACGGUGGAUGCCCUGGCAGUCAGAGGCGAUGAAGGACGUGCUAAUCUGCGAUAAGCGUCGGUAAGGUGAUAUGAACCGUUAUAGCCGGCGAUUUCCGAAUGGGGAAACCCAGUGUGUUUCGACACACUAUCAUUACGUGAAUACAUAGCGUAAUGAAGCGAACCGGGGGAACUGAAACAUCUAAGUACCCCGAGGAAAAGAAAUCAACCGAGAUUCCCCCAGUAGCGGCGAGCGAACGGGGAGCAGCCCAGAACCUGAAUCAGUUUGUGUGUUAGUGGAAGCGUCUGGAAAGUCGCAGGGUACAGGGUGAUACUCCCGUACACUAAAAUGCACAGGCUGUGAGUUCGAAGAGUAGGGCGGGACACGUGGUAUCCUGUCUGAAUAUGGGGGGACCAUCCUCCAAGGCUAAAUACUCCUGACUGACCGAUAGUGAACCAGUACCGUGAGGGAAAGGCGAAAAGAACCCCGGCGAGGGGAGUGAAAAAGAACCUGAAACCGUGUACGUACAAGCAGUGGGAGCCUCUUUAUGGGGUGACUGCGUACCUUUUGUAUAAUGGGUCAGCGACUUAUAUUCUGUAGCAAGGUUAACCGUAUAGGGGAGCCGCAGGGAAACCGAGUCUUAACUGGGCGUUAAGUUGCAGGGUAUAGACCCGAAACCCGGUGAUCUAGCCAUGGGCAGGUUGAAGGUUGGGUAACACUAACUGGAGGACCGAACCGACUAAUGUUGAAAAAUUAGCGGAUGACUUGUGGCUGGGGGUGAAAGGCCAAUCAAACCGGGAGAUAGCUGGUUCUCCCCGAAAGCUAUUUAGGUAGCGCCUCGUGAACUCAUCUUCGGGGGUAGAGCACUGUUUCGGCUAGGGGGCCAUCCCGGCUUACCAACCCGAUGCAAACUACGAAUACCGAAGAAUGUUAUCACGGGAGACACACGGCGGGUGCUAACGUCCGUCGUGAAGAGGGAAACAACCCAGACCGCCAGCUAAGGUCCCAAAGUCAUGGUUAAGUGGGAAACGAUGUGGGAAGGCACAGACAGCCAGGAUGUUGGCUUAGAAGCAGCCAUCAUUUAAAGAAAGCGUAAUAGCUCACUGGUCGAGUCGGCCUGCGCGGAAGAUGUAACGGGGCUAAACCAUGCACCGAAGCUGCGGCAGCGACACUAUGUGUUGUUGGGUAGGGGAGCGUUCUGUAAGCCGUUGAAGGUGAACUGUGAGGUUUGCUGGAGGUAUCAGAAGUGCGAAUGCUGACAUAAGUAACGAUAAAGCGGGUGAAAAGCCCGCUCGCCGGAAGACCAAGGGUUCCUGUCCAACGUUAAUCGGGGCAGGGUGAGUCGACCCCUAAGGCGAGGCCGAAAGGCGUAGUCGAUGGGAAACAGGUUAAUAUUCCUGUACUCGGUGUUACUGCGAAGGGGGGACGGAGAAGGCUAUGUUAGCCGGGCGACGGUUGUCCCGGUUUAAGCAUGUAGGCGGAGAGUUUAGGUAAAUCCGGACUCUUAUUAACGCUGAGGUGUGAUGACGAGGCACUACGGUGCUGAAGUAACAAAUGCCCUGCUUCCAGGAAAAGCCUCUAAGCAUCAGGUAACAUUGAAUCGUACCCCAAACCGACACAGGUGGUCAGGUAGAGAAUACCAAGGCGCUUGAGAGAACUCGGGUGAAGGAACUAGGCAAAAUGGUGCCGUAACUUCGGGAGAAGGCACGCUGUCGUUAGGUGAAACCCCUCGCGGGUGGAGCUGAAGGCAGUCGAAGAUACCAGCUGGCUGCAACUGUUUAUUAAAAACACAGCACUGUGCAAACACGAAAGUGGACGUAUACGGUGUGACGCCUGCCCGGUGCCGGAAGGUUAAUUGAUGGGGUUAUCCGCAAGGAGAAGCUCUUGAUCGAAGCCCCGGUAAACGGCGGCCGUAACUAUAACGGUCCUAAGGUAGCGAAAUUCCUUGUCGGGUAAGUUCCGACCUGCACGAAUGGCGUAAUGAUGGCCAGGCUGUCUCCACCCGAGACUCAGUGAAAUUGAAAUCGCUGUGAAGAUGCAGUGUACCCGCGGCAAGACGGAAAGACCCCGUGAACCUUUACUAUAGCUUGACACUGAACAUUGAGCCUUGAUGUGUAGGAUAGGUGGGAGGCUUUGAAGCGUGGACGCCAGUCUGCGUGGAGCCAACCUUGAAAUACCACCCUUUAAUGUUUGAUGUUCUAACGUAGACCCGUGAUCCGGGUUGCGGACAGUGUCUGGUGGGUAGUUUGACUGGGGCGGUCUCCUCCUAAAGCGUAACGGAGGAGCACGAAGGUUAGCUAAUCACGGUCGGACAUCGUGAGGUUAGUGCAAAGGCAUAAGCUAGCUUGACUGCGAGAGUGACGGCUCGAGCAGGUGCGAAAGCAGGUCUUAGUGAUCCGGUGGUUCUGAAUGGAAGGGCCAUCGCUCAACGGAUAAAAGGUACUCCGGGGAUAACAGGCUGAUACCGCCCAAGAGUUCAUAUCGACGGCGGUGUUUGGCACCUCGAUGUCGGCUCAUCACAUCCUGGGGCUGAAGUAGGUCCCAAGGGUAUGGCUGUUCGCCAUUUAAAGUGGUACGCGAGCUGGGUUUAGAACGUCGUGAGACAGUUCGGUCCCUAUCUGCCGUGGGCGCUGGAGAAUUGAGGGGGGCUGCUCCUAGUACGAGAGGACCGGAGUGGACGCAUCACUGGUGUUCGGGUUGUCAUGCCAAUGGCAUUGCCCGGUAGCUAAAUGCGGAAGAGAUAAGCGCUGAAAGCAUCUAAGCGCGAAACUUGCCCCGAGAUGAGUUCUCCCUGACUCCUUGAGAGUCCUGAAGGAACGUUGAAGACUACGACGUUGAUAGGCUGGGUGUGUAAGCGUAGCGAUACGUUGAGCUAACCAGUACUAAUGAUCCGUGAGGCUUAACCUUACAACACCGAAGGUGUUUUAG
Molecule: ribosomal RNA, 2936 nt
Filed under: Cedecea neteri
Lineage: Bacteria; Pseudomonadati; Pseudomonadota; Gammaproteobacteria; Enterobacterales; Enterobacteriaceae
Description: bacterial LSU rRNA
Rfam family: Bacterial large subunit ribosomal RNA
Source: RNAcentral